UGUGAACUCGAAGAGUAGGGCGGGACACGUGGUAUCCUGUCUGAAUAUGGGGGGACCAUCCUCCAAGGCUAAAUACUCCUGACUGACCGAUAGUGAACCAGUACCGUGAGGGAAAGGCGAAAAGAACCCCGGCGAGGGGAGUGAAAAAGAACCUGAAACCGUGUACGUACAAGCAGUGGGAGCACCUUCGGGUGUGACUGCGUACCUUUUGUAUAAUGGGUCAGCGACUUAUAUUCUGUAGCAAGGUUAACCGUAUAGGGGAGCCGCAGGGAAACCGAGUCUUAACUGGGCGUUAAGUUGCAGGGUAUAGACCCGAAACCCGGUGAUCUAGCCAUGGGCAGGUUGAAGGUUGGGUAACACUAACUGGAGGACCGAACCGACUAAUGUUGAAAAAUUAGCGGAUGACUUGUGGCUGGGGGUGAAAGGCCAAUCAAACCGGGAGAUAGCUGGUUCUCCCCGAAAGCUAUUUAGGUAGCGCCUCGUGAAUUCAUCUUCGGGGGUAGAGCACUGUUUCGGCUAGGGGGUCAUCCCGACUUACCAACCCGAUGCAAACUACGAAUACCGAAGAAUGUUAUCACGGGAGACACACGGCGGGUGCUAACGUCCGUCGUGAAGAGGGAAACAACCCAGACCGCCAGCUAAGGUCCCAAAGUCAUGGUUAAGUGGGAAACGAUGUGGGAAGGCACAGACAGCCAGGAUGUUGGCUUAGAAGCAGCCAUCAUUUAAAGAAAGCGUAAUAGCUCACUGGUCGAGUCGGCCUGCGCGGAAGAUGUAACGGGGCUAAACCAUGCACCGAAGCUGCGGCAGCGACACUAUGUGUUGUUGGGUAGGGGAGCGUUCUGUAAGCCUGCGAAGGUGUGCUGUGAGGCAUGCUGGAGGUAUCAGAAGUGCGAAUGCUGACAUAAGUAACGAUAAAGCGGGUGAAAAGCCCGCUCGCCGGAAGACCAAGGGUUCCUGUCCAACGUUAAUCGGGGCAGGGUGAGUCGACCCCUAAGGCGAGGCCGAAAGGCGUAGUCGAUGGGAAACAGGUUAAUAUUCCUGUACUUGGUGUUACUGCGAAGGGGGGACGGAGAAGGCUAUGUUAGCCGGGCGACGGUUGUCCCGGUUUAAGCAUGUAGGCUGGUUGUCCAGGCAAAUCCGGAUAAUCAAGGCUGAGGUGUGAUGACGAGGCACUACGGUGCUGAAGUAACAAAUGCCCUGCUUCCAGGAAAAGCCUCUAAGCAUCAGGUAACAUUAAAUCGUACCCCAAACCGACACAGGUGGUCAGGUAGAGAAUACCAAGGCGCUUGAGAGAACUCGGGUGAAGGAACUAGGCAAAAUGGUGCCGUAACUUCGGGAGAAGGCACGCUGGUGUGUAGGUGAAGUCCCUGCGGAUGGAGCUGAGACCAGUCGAAGAUACCAGCUGGCUGCAACUGUUUAUUAAAAACACAGCACUGUGCAAACACGAAAGUGGACGUAUACGGUGUGACGCCUGCCCGGUGCCGGAAGGUUAAUUGAUGGGGUUAUCCGUAAGGAGAAGCUCUUGAUCGAAGCCCCGGUAAACGGCGGCCGUAACUAUAACGGUCCUAAGGUAGCGAAAUUCCUUGUCGGGUAAGUUCCGACCUGCACGAAUGGCGUAAUGAUGGCCAGGCUGUCUCCACCCGAGACUCAGUGAAAUUGAACUCGCUGUGAAGAUGCAGUGUACCCGCGGCAAGACGGAAAGACCCCGUGAACCUUUACUAUAGCUUGACACUGAACAUUGAGCCUUGAUGUGUAGGAUAGGUGGGAGGCUUUGAAGCGUGGACGCCAGUCUGCGUGGAGCCAACCUUGAAAUACCACCCUUUAAUGUUUGAUGUUCUAACGUUGGCCCCUUACCGGGGUUGCGGACAGUGUCUGGUGGGUAGUUUGACUGGGGCGGUCUCCUCCCAAAGCGUAACGGAGGAGCACGAAGGUUAGCUAAUCCUGGUCGGACAUCAGGAGGUUAGUGCAAUGGCAUAAGCUAGCUUGACUGCGAGCGUGACGGCGCGAGCAGGUGCGAAAGCAGGUCAUAGUGAUCCGGUGGUUCUGAAUGGAAGGGCCAUCGCUCAACGGAUAAAAGGUACUCCGGGGAUAACAGGCUGAUACCGCCCAAGAGUUCAUAUCGACGGCGGUGUUUGGCACCUCGAUGUCGGCUCAUCACAUCCUGGGGCUGAAGUAGGUCCCAAGGGUAUGGCUGUUCGCCAUUUAAAGUGGUACGCGAGCUGGGUUUAGAACGUCGUGAGACAGUUCGGUCCCUAUCUGCCGUGGGCGCUGGAGAAUUGAGGGGGGCUGCUCCUAGUACGAGAGGACCGGAGUGGACGCAUCACUGGUGUUCGGGUUGUCAUGCCAAUGGCACUGCCCGGUAGCUAAAUGCGGAAGAGAUAAGUGCUGAAAGCAUCUAAGCACGAAACUUGCCCCGAGAUGAGUUCUCCCUGAGACUUUAAGUCUCCUGAAGGAACGUU
This 2459-nucleotide ribosomal RNA is filed under the name Klebsiella pneumoniae. Its description in RNAcentral is "bacterial LSU rRNA". It matches the Rfam family "Bacterial large subunit ribosomal RNA", at positions 398 to 2839 of the family's 2925-position model. The record is from RNAcentral. Lineage: Bacteria; Pseudomonadati; Pseudomonadota; Gammaproteobacteria; Enterobacterales; Enterobacteriaceae.